GAUGAACGCUAGCUACAGGCUUAACACAUGCAAGUCGCGGGGCAGCAUGGGGGUUGCUUGCAAUCCCCGAUGGCGACCGGCGCACGGGUGAGUAACGCGUAUCCAACCUGCCCUUCACCACGGGAUAACCCGGCGAAAGUCGGACUAAUACCGUAUGUUGUCCAUUGACGGCAUCCGAUUUGGACGAAAGGUUUGGCGGUGAAGGAUGGGGAUGCGUCCGAUUAGCUGGACGGCGGGGUGACGGCCCACCGUGGCGACGAUCGGUAGGGGUUCUGAGAGGAAGGUCCCCCACACUGGAACUGAGACACGGUCCAGACUCCUACGGGAGGCAGCAGUGAGGAAUAUUGGGCAAUGGGCGUAAGCCUGAACCAGCCAAGUAGCGUGCAGGAUGACGGCCCUAUGGGUUGUAAACUGCUUUUAUGCGGGGAUAAAGUGGCCCACGUGUGGGUUUUUGCAGGUACCGCAUGAAUAAGGACCGGCUAAUUCCGUG
This 490-nucleotide ribosomal RNA is filed under the name uncultured bacterium. RNAcentral's name for it is "partial 16S ribosomal RNA". It matches the Rfam family "Bacterial small subunit ribosomal RNA", at positions 28 to 507 of the family's 1533-position model. The record is from RNAcentral.